This 323-nucleotide ribosomal RNA is filed under the name uncultured bacterium. RNAcentral's name for it is "bacterial SSU rRNA". It matches the Rfam family "Bacterial small subunit ribosomal RNA", at positions 28 to 334 of the family's 1533-position model. The record is from RNAcentral.
GACGAACGCUGGCGGCGUGCUUAACACAUGCAAGUCGAACGAGAAGAGAUGAGAAGCUUGCUUCUUAUUGAUUCGAGUGGCAAACGGGUGAGUAACGCGUAAGCAACCUGCCCUUCAGAUGGGGACAACAUCCGGAAACGGGUGCUAAUACCGCAUAGUUUCUUUUCCGCCUGGAAGAAGAAGGAAAGGUGGCCUUUGCGCUAUCACUGAGGGAUGGACCCGCGGCGUAUUAGUUAGUUGGUGGGGUAAUGGCCUACCAAGACGAUGAUACGUAGCCGACCUGAGAGGUUGAACGGCCACAUUGGGACUGAGACACGGCCCAG